RNAcentral lists this small RNA (802 nucleotides) under Pan troglodytes (chimpanzee). RNAcentral's name for it is "retained intron". Lineage: Eukaryota; Metazoa; Chordata; Mammalia; Primates; Hominidae. The record is from RNAcentral.
CCCAGAGUUCGGAACCUAGAGUUCGGAGCGGGCUAGGGAGCCGGCGUUGUCGCGGCGAGGAGGUGGGCGCGCUGGAGCAGGAGCGGGGCCGGAACUGGAGCCGAGGCGCAGGUGGCGCUGGGUCGCCUGCGAGGCCGCUGGCCAGGCCUGAGCCUCUGCCACCAUGGCCAUUGUGCAGACUCUGCCAGUGCCACUGGAGCCUGCUCCUGAAGCUGCCACUGCCCCACAAGCUCCAGUCAUGGGUAGUGUGAGCAGCCUUAUCUCAGGCCGGCCCUGUCCCGGGGGGCCAGCUCCUCCCCGCCACCACGGCCCUCCUGGGCCCACCUUCUUCCGCCAGCAGGAUGGCCUGCUACGGGGUGGCUAUGAGGCACAGGAGCCGCUGUGCCCAGCUGUGCCCCCUAGGAAGGCUGUCCCUGUCACCAGCUUCACCUACAUCAAUGAGGACUUCCGGACAGAGUCACCCCCCAGCCCAAGCAGUGAUGUUGAGGAUGCCCAAGAGCAGCGGGCACACAAUGCCCACCUCCGCGGCCCACCACCGAAGCUCAUCCCUGUCUCCGGAAAGCUGGAGAAGGUGAGGACCGGCUCUUCCUUGUGGGCCUGGGUAGAACGGGAGUCCUCGCUUGGGAAACUGGAAUUUAGAAGCUUAUAUAGAGGAAAGAGUGUGGGCUCCAGAUUCACCAGACCUGGGUCCUAAUCCCAGCUCUCUCUCAUUCUGGAUGUGUGACCUCAGGGAAGUCACUUAACCUGAGCCUCAGUUUCUAGAACUGACAUGAAGGUCAAAUAAUGUAUAGCAUAGUGCCUA